ACGCUGGCGGCGUGCCUAAUACAUGCAAGUCGAACGAACUCUGGUAUUGAUUGGUGCUUGCAUCAUGAUUUACAUUUGAGUGAGUGGCGAACUGGUGAGUAACACGUGGGAAACCUGCCCAGAAGCGGGGGAUAACACCUGGAAACAGAUGCUAAUACCGCAUAACAACUUGGACCGCAUGGUCCGAGUUUGAAAGAUGGCUUCGGCUAUCACUUUUGGAUGGUCCCGCGGCGUAUUAGCUAGAUGGUGGGGUAACGGCUCACCAUGGCAAUGAUACGUAGCCGACCUGAGAGGGUAAUCGGCCACAUUGGGACUGAGACACGGCCCAAACUCCUACGGGAGGCAGCAGUAGGGAAUCUUCCACAAUGGACGAAAGUCUGAUGGAGCAACGCCGCGUGAGUGAAGAAGGGUUUCGGCUCGUAAAACUCUGUUGUUAAAGAAGAACAUAUCUGAGAGUAACUGUUCAGGUAUUGACGGUAUUUAACCAGAAAGCCACGGCUAACUACGUGCCAGCAGCCGCGGUAAUACGUAGGUGGCAAGCGUUGUCCGGAUUUAUUGGGCGUAAAGCGAGCGCAGGCGGUUUUUUAAGUCUGAUGUUGAAAGCCUUCGGCUCAACCCGAAGAAGUGCAUCGGAAACUGGGAAACUUGAGUGCAGAAGAGGACAGUGGAACUCCAUGUGUAGCGGUGAAAUGCGUAGAUAUAUGGAAGAACACCAGUGGCGAAGGCGGCUGUCUGGUCUGUAACUGACGCUGAGGCUCGAAAGUAUGGGUAGCAAACAGGAUUAGAUACCCUGGUAGUCCAUACCGUAAACGAUGAAUGCUAAGUGUUGGAGGGUUUCCGCCCUUCAGUGCUGCAGCUAACGCAUUAAGCAUUCCGCCUGAGGGAGUACGGCCGCAAGGCUGAAACUCAAAGGAAUUGACGGGGGCCCGCAACAAGCGGUGGAGCAUGUGGUUUAAUUCGAAGCUACGCGAAGAACCUUACCAGGUCUUGACAUACUAUGCAAAUUCUAAGAGAUUAGACGUUCCCUUCGGGGACAUGGAUACAGGUGGUGCAUGGUUGUCGUCAGCUCGUGUCGUGAGAUGUUGGGUUAAGUCCCGCAACGAGCGCAACCCUUAUUAUCAGUUGCCAGCAUUAAGUUGGGCACUCUGGUGAGACUGCCGGUGACAAACCGGAGGAAGGUGGGGAUGACGUCAAAUCAUCAUGCCCCUUAUGACCUGGGCUACACACGUGCUACAAUGGAUGGUACAACGAGUUGCGAACUCGCGAGAGUAAGCUAAUCUCUUAAAGCCAUUCUCAGUUCGGAUUGUAGGCUGCAACUCGCCUACAUGAAGUCGGAAUCGCUAGUAAUCGCGGAUCAGCAUGCCGCGGUGAAUACGUUCCCGGGCCUUGUACACACCGCCCGUCACACCAUGAGAGUUUGUAACACCCAAAGUCGGUGGGGUAACCUUUUAGGAACCAGCCGCCUAAGGUGGGACAGAUGAUUAGGGGAAGUCGAAACC
Molecule: ribosomal RNA, 1499 nt
Filed under: Lactiplantibacillus pentosus
Lineage: Bacteria; Bacillati; Bacillota; Bacilli; Lactobacillales; Lactobacillaceae
Description: bacterial SSU rRNA
Rfam family: Bacterial small subunit ribosomal RNA
Source: RNAcentral